This 71-nucleotide transfer RNA is filed under the name Salmo salar (Atlantic salmon). It matches the Rfam family "tRNA". From Rfam's summary of the family: Transfer RNA (tRNA) molecules are approximately 80 nucleotides in length. Their secondary structure includes four short double-helical elements and three loops (D, anti-codon, and T loops). Further hydrogen bonds mediate the characteristic L-shaped molecular structure. tRNAs have two regions of fundamental functional importance: the anti-codon, which is responsible for specific mRNA codon recognition, and the 3' end, to which the tRNAs corresponding amino acid is attached (by aminoacyl-tRNA synthetases). tRNAs cope with the degeneracy of the genetic code in two manners: having more than one tRNA (with a specific anti-codon) for a particular amino acid; and 'wobble' base-pairing, i.e. permitting non-standard base-pairing at the 3rd anti-codon position. Lineage: Eukaryota; Metazoa; Chordata; Actinopteri; Salmoniformes; Salmonidae. The record is from Rfam by way of RNAcentral.
UCCCAUGUAGUUCAGCUGGUAGAGCAUGGUGCUUGCAAUGCCAGGGGUGUGGGUUUGAUUCCCACGGGGAA